Molecule: unclassified non-coding RNA, 866 nt
Filed under: Hevea brasiliensis (rubber tree)
Lineage: Eukaryota; Viridiplantae; Streptophyta; Magnoliopsida; Malpighiales; Euphorbiaceae
Source: RNAcentral
GUUCUCAAAUGGGCAAAUUGAGGUGGCCCAGAAAGUGGAAACAGAUGAAGAAGACAACAGAGGAGUUGCCAAAGAAUUUGAGGAACUGAAACCUGAAGUUGAAUCUGUGAGAGAAAUUGUUGUUGAUGGGAAUUCUGAGUCUUUCAAAGAAACUCAUGAUGUGCUGAGUUCUGAUAGCAGCAACAGUCCAGAGGAAGAGGCGGAAGCUAAAGAUCAGAGUCUUUCAGCAAAGGAUUCAGGGACAUUAGAGGAGGAGGUGAAGAAAGAUGUUACUGACAUCAUAAUCGAGUCAGCUGAGUCUAUUGUGCCUUUGCCACAAGUACUCUCUUCGACUACAGAAACAUCAAUUGAGAAAUCACAGGAGCCUGAUGUGACUGAAGUGGAACAAAAAGAAAUUGAAGUGAAAAUCUUCCCGUCUUCGAAUGAGACCAAUGAGAAGACAACUCUGGAUGAGACUGAUGGAGGUGUAUCUGAAGUGGCGCCAGAUGGAUCUAAGGAAACAAGGCUGCCAUCUUCGGAUGAUAAACGUGAUUUAUCUGCAAUUGCAACAGAUACGGUGUCAGAUGGAGUUGAGGAAGCAAUAGUGAUAGCUUUGGAGGAGAACACUGGGGAGCCCUCUGCCUUUGUUGAUAAAGAAUCCGAGGAAAAUACUGAUGAUUCACUGAAGCCAUCAAACAAUGCUACUAUUGUUGGCAGUAGUGAUGGUUUCCCUGAGAGCAAAGGAAAUCCACAUGUUACAUCUCUUAGUCAGCGCACCCUGCAACGUACAUCUUGGAGGAGCUGCUGUGGCCUUUUUGAAGUUCUCCGGCGCUAAAUCGAUGAAUCAAGAUACUAUGCAUAAUUUCAUAAGAAGCUUGCAGAUCAUA